UGAUGGCGACGUAAUUUUAGAAACGCGACCGUGUUGUGGGUUGCGAGUGCAAUGCCCAGUAAGAAGAUGUGUCCGUGGCGAUGAGGUUACCAUGUUAAAGCCGCCGAUGUCAAAUUGGCCUUACCUCGUCUACGUUCGCGGGGACAAGGGCAGCAGCUGGACCUCGGCGGACUAGAGCGCGUGCUGCAGCGCGUGUGGAAUGAGACAAACGGAUGCGCGCUCAACUCGCUUCCCUGGACGGUGCGCGUUACCAACACCACGGGCGGCUACAUCGACCUGACCCAGCCUCCGCUCGCCCACCUCGCGGCCGGCCUGCGACGCCUCGACGACGUCACCCUCGACAACGGGCGGGUGUUCAAGGAAGACUACCAGCUGUCGGACGUUGUCUGCGGCGCGCCGGACCUGAAAGCCGCCGCGGACAGGCUCGCGUCCGCCUGGGCGCAGGUGCGUACGAUCUACGCGGCAUCGAUACGGUCUGCCUUCGACCGCCAGGCCCUGCAGGACGCCCUCCGCCGGCUGUGGCUUGACAACAAUGUGGGCGUACUCGCGCCCGACCAGUGGCGCUACCACCUCGUCAACGAGGACUACUACUCACCCGACGCCGUCACGCUGCUGCUGAGGAACGCCCUCGAGGCAAAGUACCCAGGUAAGCACAGGGGGUUACUCUGGGAAAUUGAAAAGUGUAGCCGAAAAAAUAGCCAAUUGACUAUUUGUAGCCAAUGUAAAUCAUUUGUA
Long non-coding RNA from Priapulus caudatus, 735 nucleotides. RefSeq lists it as uncharacterized. The transcript has 3 exons. The record is from RefSeq and is a predicted model, not a curated record. Lineage: Eukaryota; Metazoa; Priapulida; Priapulimorpha; Priapulimorphida; Priapulidae.